CAGUAGCCACGGUAAUACGAAGGGUGCAAGCGUUACUCGGAAUUACUGGGCGCAAAGCGUGCGUAGGUGGUGGUUUAAGUCCGUUGUGAAAGCCCUGGGCUCAACCUGGGAAUUGCAGUGGAUACUGGGUCACUAGAGUGUGGUAGAGGAUAGUGGAAUUUCCGGUGUAGCAGUGAAAUGCGUAGAGAUCGGAAGGAACAUCUGUGGCGAAGGCGACUAUCUGGGCCAACACUGACACUGAGGCACGAAAGCGUGGGGAGCAAACAGGAUUAGAUACCCCCGUAGUCCCUGUCUCUUAUAC
RNAcentral lists this ribosomal RNA (301 nucleotides) under uncultured bacterium. RNAcentral's name for it is "partial 16S ribosomal RNA". It matches the Rfam family "Bacterial small subunit ribosomal RNA", at positions 509 to 807 of the family's 1533-position model. The record is from RNAcentral.